This 400-nucleotide ribosomal RNA is filed under the name uncultured bacterium. RNAcentral describes it as "bacterial SSU rRNA". It matches the Rfam family "Bacterial small subunit ribosomal RNA", at positions 975 to 1375 of the family's 1533-position model. The record is from RNAcentral.
CUGGUCUUGACAUCCCGGUGAAUGCAGGGCAAUGCCUGCAGCCCUUCGGGGCACUGGAGACAGGUGGUGCAUGGUUGUCGUCAGCUCGUGUCGUGAGAUGUUGGGUUAAGUCCCGCAACGAGCGCAACCCUUAUCCUUAGUAGCCAGCGGCUAGGCCGGGCACUCUAGGGAGACUGCCGGGGACAACCCGGAGGAAGGCGGGGAUGACGUCAAAUCAUCAUGCCCCUUAUGGCCAGGGCUACACACGUGCUACAAUGGCGCAAACAGAGGGAAGCGGACCGGUGACGGCGAGCGAAUCCCAAAAAGUGCGUCUCAGUUCGGAUUGUAGUCUGCAACUCGACUACAUGAAGCCGGAAUCGCUAGUAAUCGCGGAUCAGAAUGCCGCGGUGAAUACGUUCCC